GGAUCGCAGCCCAGGUGUGCUUGCUGGCUGUUCUCCACCUGAUUACUGCACCUGAGGCUGGCGCAUUCUUCUUGCCCUUCUGGUGUUUCAAGUUUGCGAGGAAGUGGCGCCUGCCCUGGCUAGGCGAGGAGGAUGGCCGGCACGAACACGUGCACUACCAUAACCACAACCACAACCACGGGCACAGGCUGCCAGUGCCGCCACGCCGGCCGUUCUUCAGAUAAGCAACGCACUGCGUCAACAGCUGAGCAGCAU
Molecule: long non-coding RNA, 255 nt
Organism: Schistocerca cancellata (South American locust)
Lineage: Eukaryota; Metazoa; Arthropoda; Insecta; Orthoptera; Acrididae
Exons: 3
Source: RefSeq, a predicted model, not a curated record